GGCGCGAUGGCCGAGUGGUUAAGGCGACAGAUUAGAAUGUGCGAUUUAACAGAUCCUAUAUCUGUUUCGGUUUCCGAGCGCAGGUUCAAGUCCUGCUCGCGUCG
Molecule: non-coding RNA, 104 nt
Organism: Roridomyces roridus
Lineage: Eukaryota; Fungi; Basidiomycota; Agaricomycetes; Agaricales; Mycenaceae
Source: the annotation of a GenBank genome assembly